GAUCCUGGCUCAGGAUGAACGCUAGCUACAGGCUUAACACAUGCAAGUCGAGGGGCAGCAUGACCUAGCAAUAGGUUGAUGGCGACCGGCGCACGGGUGAGUAACACGUAUCCAACCUACCGGUUAUUCCGGGAUAGCCUUUCGAAGAAAGAUUAAUACCGGAUAGUAUAACGAGAAGGCAUCUUCUUGUUAUUAAAGAAAUUUCGUAUAACCGACUGGGGAGUGCGUUCCAUUAGUUUGUUGGCGGGGUAACGGGCCCACCCAA
Molecule: ribosomal RNA, 265 nt
Filed under: uncultured bacterium
Lineage: Bacteria
Description: partial 16S ribosomal RNA
Rfam family: Bacterial small subunit ribosomal RNA
Source: RNAcentral